Molecule: ribosomal RNA, 255 nt
Filed under: uncultured bacterium
Lineage: Bacteria
Description: partial 16S ribosomal RNA
Rfam family: Bacterial small subunit ribosomal RNA
Source: RNAcentral
UACGUAGGGUGCAAGCGUUGUCCGGAAUUAUUGGGCGUAAAGAGCUCGUAGGCGGUCUGUCGCGUCUGCUGUGAAAACCUAGGGCUUAACUCUGGGCGUGCAGUGGGUACGGGCAGGCUAGAGUGCGGGUAGGGGAGACUGGAAUUCCUGGUGUAAGCGGUGAAAUGCGUAGAUAUCCGGAGGAAUACCAAAGGCGAAGGCAGUGUCCUGGCUGGCAUCUGACGCUGAGGCGCGAAAGCUAGGGGAGCGAACAGG